GUUUGACCUCGGAUCAGGUA
RNAcentral lists this ribosomal RNA (20 nucleotides) under Cephalotrichum acutisporum. Its description in RNAcentral is "partial 28S ribosomal RNA". The record is from RNAcentral. Lineage: Eukaryota; Fungi; Ascomycota; Sordariomycetes; Microascales; Microascaceae.